This 702-nucleotide ribosomal RNA is filed under the name nematode environmental sample AGO-2003. RNAcentral describes it as "SSU rRNA". It matches the Rfam family "Eukaryotic small subunit ribosomal RNA", at positions 492 to 1206 of the family's 1831-position model. The record is from RNAcentral. Lineage: Eukaryota; Metazoa; Nematoda.
UCACAAGAGNCCGGUCAUUGAAAUGGGCCCAAUUUAACCCCUUUNAACGAGUUUUUAUGAGAGGGCAAGUCUGGGGCCAGCACCCGCGGUAAUUCCAGUUCUCAAAAUGCAUAGAAUUAUUGCUGCGGUAAAAAGCUCGUAGUUGGAUUUGUGCUGCCCUCCCGGUCCACUUUCGGGGUGCGCACUGGAGAGGUUGGCUUUGCUGUCGUUUACGCGNAUGUUCCUAACGGGGCAACCGCAUCGCGACAAUUUUACCUUGAACAAAUCAGAGUGCUCAAAACAGGCGUUUCGCUUGAAUGUUCGUGCAUGGAAUAAUAGAAGAGGAUUUCGGUUCUAUUUUAUUGGUUUUAUAGACUGAGAUAAUGGUUAACAGAGACAAACGGGGGCAUUCGUAUUGCUGCGUGAGAGGUGAAAUUCUUGGACCGUAGCAAGACGGACUACAGCGAAAGCAUUUGCCAAGAAUGUCUUCAUUAAUCAAGAACGAAAGUCAGAGGUUCGAAGGCGAUCAGAUACCGCCCUAGUUCUGACCGUAAACGAUGCCAACUAGCGAUCUGCCGGUGGAAUUCUUGCCCUGGUAGGGAGCUUCCCGGAAACGAAAGUCUUCCGGUUCCGGGGGAAGUAUGGUUGCAAAGCUGAAACUUAAAGGAAUUGACGGAAGGGCACCACCAGGAGUGGAGCCUGCGGCUUAAUUUGACUAAGGGC